This is a long non-coding RNA of Meriones unguiculatus (Mongolian gerbil), 7284 nucleotides long. RefSeq lists it as uncharacterized. The transcript has 2 exons. The record is from RefSeq and is a predicted model, not a curated record. NCBI's taxonomy places the organism in Eukaryota, Metazoa, Chordata, Mammalia, Rodentia, Muridae.
GGAAAGGGGAGAGAAGAGACAAGGGGAGGAGAGAAAAGAGGGGAAGGAAGGGGAGGACAGACGAGAGGAGAUCCAGAGCCAAACCUGGGGCCAUCUGUCCUUGCCAGAUCAGGGAGAGGAGAAGCCAGUGAGGGGACAGUGAUAUAGGAGCAGUGUGGGAGAUUCUGGAAACCAGACAGAAGCUGAAUCACAUGCUGCCAGUGGGUCACAUCAAAUAAGGCCUCGGAGCUGGCCUCAGAUUUAACUUCAUGGAGGUCAUCAGUGACCUUGACCUGAAUCGCUUCAGGGAAGUACAGAAAUUAAGCCUGAUUAGAGUAGGUUCAAGAGCAAAUGGGAGAGAAAGAUUUGGAGGCAGCAAGGAUAAGUAACCUUCUGUCAGGUUUUUGUUAAUAAAUGAGGAGCAGAGAAAUGGGGCAGUCACUACGAGGGAGGUGAGGUUGAGAGAGAGAACAGAGAGCCACCCACCUCUGUGGUAAUAGCAAAGAAAAUCCAACGCUUCUGCCUGAGGCAGAGGGUGGCUUGGGUGUGGCUGAGUAAGAUAGAAGGGCAGGCAGCUAGCCUUGGAUGGGAGGGCAGGUGACCAGAGUCAGUGAUGGAGAGGGAACAAUUCCUAAGUCCUCCUAUGAUGGCUUCAGUGGGGGGGGGGGGGGGGCUCACAGCCAGCUGUGCUGAGGAAGGGCACACAGAAAGAAGGCAUCUGGCUGUUGCUAGGAGAGAGACCAGGCAACCAAGGAAGUAGUCAGGGGCCUGGCCUGGUGGAGGCACCCGGCAGGCAGCUGUUAAGAAAAGAGAGUGAAGUCCAGAUUAAUGGACACAAACAAGGGUGGGGUGGCAUGGGGAGGGGGUUGCCAGGCAAGGACAGGAGAAAGGCUGACCGGGUGGGAGGUGAGUGAGAUGAAGCUGGGAAUGCAGGGAGAUGGCUAAAAACCAAGGGUGUGUUCCCCCCAAGUGGGGAGCUUCCUCAAGGGAGCAGAACAGAGAGGAAUCCCCAAGAUGGAUGUAGAGGAGCUAUAGUGUGCAUGCUGACCAGGCCUUGACUGAAUGGAAGGAAUGGAUGGCUUGGAGCAGAUGAAAGAGGUCAGGGGAAGGGAAGAAGUCAACCGGACGGAUGGGAAAAGUCAGUGAACGGAGAGGGUGGUGUCUCCACUGGGGCAAAGGGGUUGAGGGCCUGGAGUCCUAGAGGAUUUUAAGGAGGUGUGGCCAGAACAAAGAAGGCCUGUCUACUCUUCUCCAGGAGGGAAUCCUAGAGCAAAGCAGAGAGAGGGAGCAGGAAGGAACGAAGAAGACAAGACUGAUGCCCUCAGCUUUAGAAAGUGGGCUCUACCCCCACUUCCUGGAGGCUAUCGGGACUGCUGCUCCCUGUCUCCACAUUCGCAGACACCCACCCACCCCCUUAUCACUCAUAUUUCCCAAGUGUCUCACCUGGAGUGGUGACAGGGGGCGGAGGCAGACCAGCGGGGCUAAGGUCCCCAGAACAAGGAGAAGCCAUGUCAGAAGCCAGGGUCCCACUUCUGUUUACUUGGCUUCCCAGGAGACUGGGAAGGGCCUUCUGGAAGACAGAACCUUGCGUUUAAAGGGGCCCCAUCUGGAAAAGGGUUGGGGUCCGAGGACAGGGGUCAAGAGAGCCAGAAGGCACCUACAUAUUGUCUUGUCUCAGCUCACUCUAGUAUUCACAUCCCAGUCUGGGCCCACAGGGCCACUGAGAACUUGAUUCCCCUCAGCCACACUAGCCAGGCAUGGACACCGCAGGAGUGUUCCUAGAGCCCAGGAGCCAGAUCGUUCUCUCCAAACUUGAACCAGACUAAGUCUCCUGCUUCAAGAAGCCUUUGUGGACUUGUAUUUCCCUCUCCCUCCCCAUCAAUGGACACAGCAUCAGUAGAGAGACCAAGGAUAUGGGGCUGGGGCUGGGGCUGAAAAGGUAGGACUCUCCAGCAGGAGAGUGGGCAGCAGGUCUCCCUUCAUUCAGGAGCACUGGGCACUGUGGCAUAGCCUUCCUGUGGUGCCACCCUUAGCAUUCAUGGUCCAGAAACUAGCCAUCAUUCCUGAAAGAGGCUGGAAGGUAUGGCUCUCCUCCAUAUAUGCCUGCAGGCUGUAGAAACCAAGACAACUUCAGAAGAAAUGAAUGUCCAUGUUUGUAGCUGGGUCUAGGGCCUGGAAGAGAGAAGACCCAAGCUCCAGCCACCAUGUGAGAAAGCUCACUGUCGGGCUAUUUGUUACACGGCCAAACUGACUGAUACAGCAGCACUGCAGUGGGAGAAUGGGGCCAGCUUUGUGGAAGAGUAGCCCUAUUUAUCAUGCCACCACCACCACAUCUGCAUUUUCACAGCUCCUGCAGUGCCUUGCCAUCCUCUGCAGGGCAAGCACACUCUUGUCCUUCAGGUACCAUUCUCUGCCCCCUUCCAAGAUGCACUUGUAGUCUUUCCUGCAUCUCCAAGCCCACAGGGCCUUCAAGGGAAGUCACCUGUCUGAAUUAGUUCCUCCCUUGACUUCUGUGGGCCUCGUGCAUCGUGGUAAGGAGUGUGUCUUGCUCUAGGCAGGCCAUACUAGGACCGUGCCCUUUCCUCCAUUCAGUCACAGUGAGAGGGCUGAAUACCCUCCCGGUCCCCAAACAGUCACAGCAGGAGGUGAAACGCAAUGUGUUCCCAUGACUUCCCUGCCUCUUAGGGAGUGCUGGUCCUGGGUGGAGCCACCCAUGACGCUCCACUCCAACAGAGCUUUGGUUCUGUGCCCCAUGUGCAUGAGCCCCACAUACAUAAGCUUGGUCCACCCUCAGUGCCACAUCAGUGUGCCACCCUGUUCAUCUUCCAAAGCCAUGAGCCAGUAGCCCCCAUCCUUCCCCAGCCCCAGCAGCCCCUGCUCCCCAUUGCUGGGAGGUCCACUGACUUCAGAUAUUUUGUAGGAAUGAGAGCAGCUGUGGUAGCUCUUUUCACUUAGCACAGUGUCUUCAGGGGCAACCACACACCCAAGACAUCAGCUUUCCUCCUUGUUAAAGGCUGGAUGGUAUUCCUCUGGGUGCCUAGUCAUGCGUCCCCAUCCAUUCAGUCGUAGAUGGAUGAAGGCUGCUCCCACACCUUGGCCUUGAGGCAGCUGCUGCAAGCAAGGAGUAAUACCUCAUGAGAUCCUAAUCUUGAUGUUUUUGGAUCUGUGCCCAGAAGGCCAAUUACUAUAUCAUAUGGCGAUGCUAUUUUUAAUUUUCUGAGGAACCUCCAUACUGUUUCCUUUACUGGUUGCACCAUGUGGCAUUUCACCCACAAGGCAGGAGCGUUCCCCUCCCCCACAUCCCUGACAGUCUGUCCUGAUAGGUGAGAACUGACAGAUCACCAGGGCCCUGAUGGCACUGCCUGGGUUUCUGGUGAUGGAGGCACCUGUUCGUGUACCCACUGGCCCAGUGUCUGUCUGCUCUGGAGAAUGUUACCCUGCCCGGCCCUUUCAUUGGGUUUUUCUGUCUGCUGAAUGUUUUCUUUUACUGUUUGGCUGUAGCCCCUUAUCAGAAAGAUGGUUGCCAGUACCUUUUUCCCCUGGAGGGGGAGAGGGAGAUGGGGGGGAGAGCUGCUUUUUUGUUUUGCUGUUUUCCGUGCUUUGCCAAGGUGUUUUGCUUGAAAACUGUCUUGCCCAUCUAUCUCCUUUUUCACCUGUGUUUUUGGUCUCAUAUCCAGGGAGAUCAAUGACAAGCCACUUGACCCCUAAAGGUCUUGCAAUUCCCAGCCUGAGCGGAUGUCUCUGGAGGGUAUGAGCUGGCCAAAGGGACUGCACUAUGCUGCUGAGAAGAGGGGUGCAGACACAUGCCUGGCCCCUCCAUCAGCAAAGCAGCUCCUCCAUCCUCCUCCCACUGGGCCCAGCACAGUUCAAGGAUCUGCGGCCCAACAGCUCAGGGGAACCAGGGCUGGCUUCCCAGAGGACAAGAAGACGUAGGAACGUGUACAGCGUUUCCUUCUGAAGGGAGCAAAUUCCAGGGCGCAGGAGUUGCAGGAGGGAAAAAAACGCAUCGCUAGAACGUUGAGGGCUUGGGAAAAGCAGAAGGUAGGCCUGUCCUAAUGUGGGUCAGGUUCCUCUGCUAAUGGAGCCAGUAUGCAAGGGGUUGGUAGUAGCUCUCGAGGCAAAACCACCCCAAGUCUACUACCCUGAGGAGGUAAGAGGCUGGACUCCCAGCCUGUAACUGCACGAGGAGGGCGCUAUUAGGGAAGCAGCUCGCUACAGGGGCUCCAAGGCUGGACAGCAGGCUCAGAGGAGUUCCAGCCUUCAUACCCCCUCCUCAUAACUCCCCCCACUGCAGCCUUCUGAUCACAGUCCUGUCUGUGACCACAGCGCCACCUACUGGCUGCACGGGGGAGCCAAGCAGGUGAGACACUUGAGGUAAGAAGGGGAGCCUAGUACCCUGGAAAGAGGGUACCCGGUGGCCAUGACGCCUCACGCCCACUUGUUUAGUGGCUUGAGUUUGCAUCCUGCUUCUGCCGCUGACAGCUGUGUGACCUCGACCAAUGUAUGCCCCGCUCUAAAUUUCAUCCCAGACCAGGACCGUGGGCACAUCUGACCUUUGGAUGACAUGAGCAAGAGAUGACCCCCACUAGACAGCGUACCUCUGUCUGACAGAAGCUGGUCGGUGCUCACAGGCAGACUGAAACAAGCAUGGCAUAGCCAGGAGCACGGCCGAAUUCAGGUCCUCAUAAACACCAAGGAUGCUCAUGACUCACACAAAGUCGCCGGUACGGUUUCCCACCCACACAGGUAUGGCGUACAGUAACGGUCUCAGCAGAGAGGACGAUGACACAGCCACAAACCCCAGAAGGGACAGGUGUGGGAACUUGUGAUACUCUGCUGAAGCUUCCUGUGGCUUUAUUUAGCAACCAACCCGCAAAAUUUCUGAAAAUUCAGGACUCACGAAGCCUGUUGCCCUGGCUUCCACACACCCUUGGUCAAGGGCUCCAGAUAGGAAAUGGUGAUCAGGCCCCAGGAUCCACCACACACAGAAGCCACAGAACCAGCUAUGCCGUGACCUCCCUCGUGAAUGGGAGGUAAGGAGUUGUGAGCCUCCUGAAACAGACCUGGGGUCCUGACUCUGCCAGAGGCAAAACUCAUGGCCUGGGGCUCAUGAGCAUCAGGAAGUCUGAACUGACAAGAUCAAGGUAUCAGCCUACACCAUGUCAGCUAAGGGUCUCUUUCUGGUUGCAGACGGUUCCUUCUCGGGGUGUCCUUGCAUGGUAAGGGCCCUUGGGCCUCAUUCACCUGGUUACCACUUCCAGGCUUUUGUCCUAGGCAGGAAAACUAAACUAGGGCAAUCAUGGGGUCUAGCAGGUCGGAGCCAGGGCCUCUUACAGCAGACUCUGAAGCAAAGGUGACCAGUCCUCAGUCUCCAGGGACUUCGCCCAGACCACUGGCCUUUGCAGGCGUCAUCCACGCAUGCAGUCUCAAAAGAUGUCGAUGGGUCACACCUGGCUUUUCUCUCCACCUUCCUCGGGCACUCCAGCCGCCAGAGCUGUCUUGAUCAUUCCAGAAGAGCAGACCCCAAACCCUCAAGCUGUCUACACAGGCUGACCCUCAGUACUUCAGCCCAAUAUCUCCAGCCCAAUAUCCUCAACUUACAGGGCAGCUGCACCUCCCCCCCCAGGCCUGUCUUCCUGCUUUGCAUCCCACAUUUUGUUGGUGAGAGUGAGCCCCGGGAGCCCCCAAGGUUGAGCACUGUGGCAGCCAUCACUAUCAGCCAGGUCUGCCAUUGCUGCCAUCUCCUGCAUCCUAUUGCUGGACUGGGAUGAUGUCCACCAUUUGUCGACAGAACCGAGAUGUUCCUAGCCUGUCCAGGCACUGUGCUGGAGUGCUGUGUCCUCACUGAGCCUCAGAGCAGUGCAGGAGCUUGGUAGAUGUGCUCCCAUUUCACAGGUGGGGAUACUGAGGCACAAAGAGGUUGAAUGCCAACACGAAGCCACAGGGUCAGUAAAUGGGAAGGCUGAAUUUGGUGUGGGGCAGUUUGCUUCUCCCUGUACUUGGAACCUCAGGCUGGCCUCACUCCAAGAGCCGUGUCCUUGAGAGGAUUUGGGUAGGGGGAGGUAUCUAUGCAACAGCACCCAGACAGGAGGGCAUAGCACCCCAUGUGCUCACCUGGAGCCCUCGAAAGCAGUCACAGCCCCAGCCUAGGCCCUACUAUCACCACAGGGUCCUGGACUCAUAUAACAGAUGUUCCACUUAGCCACAAGUCACAGAGAAUGCCAAUGAUCUAAGGAACCAAGAGACGGACAGGAGGCCUCCAUGGGGAUAGAUGUCCUCAUUGCAUGUGUAGCCCAAAGCACACUUCCCCAACCUACCAUCCUCAGACAGUGCUGGCUCCACAAUACUGUCCCUGGAAGGGUGCUGUGGAUACUGGAGCCAUUGUGACCUCAGGGUGAGGUCAGGGCCACUCAAGGCACCAGAUAAGGGACAAUGCCCAGGAUGGAACUAGCCUGUCGGUGAGGAUAGGGCUGGAAACUGAGACCUGUAGGUCUCCUGCUCGGAACCCCGACAUGGAUGGGCAGCCUCCUGACAGGCCACUCAGCCGAAUCUCCAUUGAUGCUACGUCAUCAGCCAUGUCCCACAACCCCAGUCUGCAGGCGUGUUUAUCCUCUUCAACUAUGGACCCAAGGAGCAGCCUAGAACAGGCCCUCUCCUUGGGAAGUGUGUGGAACUGAGGACAAGCAGAUACUAUCUUGAUGCAGAGAACAGAAGCGAAGAUGGAGCCAUGGAAGCACUAGACUUUGGCAACAUCCAAAGCAAGAGUGCCCUUUUUUUUUUUUUUUUUUUUUUUUUUGCCCCUUCAUGGCAACUGCCAGUCCAGGGAAAUACAUUUCACCCUUUUGCAAAACAUAAAGACCUUCAUCAUCUGUGCCCUUACCGCUACUGCCCACUUAAAAACCUUCUCAAGGGAUAUCUGGGUAGGCAGGUUAUCGCCUAUGCUGCUUUGAAAAGCCUGGCUAUCCAAGUCAAUAUCAGAGAUAAAGCUGGCAUGAGACAGUCUGAGCCCUUCUGGACUCCUAGUGUGCCUGUCUACCACCCUGCUGGGCCUGGCUGCCUACUCCAGGCCUUCAACUUCUCCACUCAUAAGAACAUUUUGCCUAAGAAACUUUUUAUGAGACUCCAUGGAUACAAAUGUAUGCAAUAAGCAUACAAGCCAAACAUCUGCAAAGAUAUGUUUAUACAAUGGGCAUACAAGUCAAACACUGGCUGAUCAUAAAACCAUAAAGCAAUUUAUCUUAAUCAAUUUUUUGGUGUGUAGGAUCUUAACCAUUUAUUAAAGAUGAAAGCAAAUUGGUUACUAAU